RNAcentral lists this unclassified non-coding RNA (591 nucleotides) under Aspergillus flavus. RNAcentral describes it as "sequence contains ITS1, 5.8S rRNA gene and ITS2". The stretch from base 189 to 342 matches the Rfam family "5.8S ribosomal RNA". Lineage: Eukaryota; Fungi; Ascomycota; Eurotiomycetes; Eurotiales; Aspergillaceae. The record is from RNAcentral.
AGGGGGUAAGAAGGGGUGGGAUCUAGCGAGCCCACCUCCCACCCGUGUUUACUGUACCUUAGUUGCUUCGGCGGGCCCGCCAUUCAUGGCCGCCGGGGGCUCUCAGCCCCGGGCCCGCGCCCGCCGGAGACACCACGAACUCUGUCUGAUCUAGUGAAGUCUGAGUUGAUUGUAUCGCAAUCAGUUAAAACUUUCAACAAUGGAUCUCUUGGUUCCGGCAUCGAUGAAGAACGCAGCGAAAUGCGAUAACUAGUGUGAAUUGCAGAAUUCCGUGAAUCAUCGAGUCUUUGAACGCACAUUGCGCCCCCUGGUAUUCCGGGGGGCAUGCCUGUCCGAGCGUCAUUGCUGCCCAUCAAGCACGGCUUGUGUGUUGGGUCGUCGUCCCCUCUCCGGGGGGGACGGGCCCCAAAGGCAGCGGCGGCACCGCGUCCGAUCCUCGAGCGUAUGGGGCUUUGUCACCCGCUCUGUAGGCCCGGCCGGCGCUUGCCGAACGCAUAUCAAUCUUUUUCCAGGUUGACCUCGGAUCAGGUAGGGAUACCCGGCUGAACUUAAGCAUAUCAAUAAGCGGAGGAAUUUUUUUUUUUUUUUUUU